UACGUAGGGUGCGAGCGUUGUCCGGAAUUACUGGGCGUAAAGAGCUCGUAGGUGGUUUGUCGCGUUGUUCGUGAAAACUCACAGCUCAACUGUGGGCGUGCGGGCGAUACGGGCAGGCUAGAAUUCGGUAGGGGAGACUGGAAUUCCUGGUGUAGCGGUGAAAUGCGCAGAUAUCAGGAGGAACACCGGUGGCGAAGGCGGGUCUCUGGGCCGAUACUGACGCUGAGGAGCGAAAGCGUGGGGAGCGAACAGG
RNAcentral lists this ribosomal RNA (253 nucleotides) under uncultured bacterium. RNAcentral describes it as "partial 16S ribosomal RNA". It matches the Rfam family "Bacterial small subunit ribosomal RNA", at positions 524 to 776 of the family's 1533-position model. The record is from RNAcentral.